CUUUGUCCGUUUGAAGUCGAGUUUUUAUCCCUUCAAGAUGUUGUUGGAUUUUAUCCUGAUGGAAGAGAAAUAUCAAAAGUUUUUAGUUGUAGUUUUGCCCCAAAAGGCUCUAUAAAGGAAAUCCGUUAUCAGAGAAGAUUCUUCGAAAGGGAUAAUAAGGACUUGCCUAAUCCCAAGAGUUCAGAUCCAAUUCAAAAAAAGGAGCAAAAG
Molecule: long non-coding RNA, 210 nt
Filed under: Gossypium raimondii (Peruvian cotton)
Lineage: Eukaryota; Viridiplantae; Streptophyta; Magnoliopsida; Malvales; Malvaceae
Description: long non-coding RNA (GRAI_LNC008070)
Source: RNAcentral